AUGCUAAAUUUAUUUGAUGACUAUAAUAAUUGGUCUAUUGUAUUUAAUUAAGUAAUUAUUUAAUUUUGGUUUCCACAAACAAAAUUGUAAAUUUAACACACAUAUUUAGCUACCAGACAUUAAUUAUCAUGCAUAUCCAAAUACAAACAUUAAUUGUUCCAGACAUUCAAAUCCUAGAUAUUUGUCCUAGUGCAUUUACUAAUCCAUUUUGUACUUUUUAGAGUGCUUGUUUGUAGUGCACUUUUUGUUUGUUUCCUUCUUGUCACUUGUAACAUCUUUCAUUAUCUUAAUGAAGUGGAUUGUUUCUUGUUCAAAAAAAAAAAAUCUAUACCCAUGAAACAAUGUCUACGAUCCAAACGGGCUCUAAAGGUCUUAGCAAGACAUUAAUCUUGUGGAGGCAGUAAUAUGAACUGACUCAAAAUGGUCCAUCCAAGAACUACGCUUGUCUUACAAAUUUGAUUUCUCUAUAACCACAAUUCUUAAAGUAACAAUUUGACUUCAUCCAUAAUAAUUGUGACCUCGAAGGUAAUGAUACUCCCUUACGAGCUGAAGAAGUCUUUAGCAAAUGAGAACUCCCAUUGCAAAUUGAAGACUUGGAUGAUCUUAUACUAGCAAGCUAUUUAGAAGAAACAACCAAUAAAUAAGUGAUUAGAUUCCCUAUCUGUAUAAGAAAGACGGCAAAGAGAAAACAUGAUAUAGGCAUCUUCUGAAGCACUUCCCAAGUAUACUGACUACUAUUAAGUAAAAUUCAUGAAAGAAUAUUGAUUCUUCUAGGACUCUCUUGUUUCCAACUAAAAGAAAACAGGUCUUUAGGCAUAAUCCUUUUGGGGUGAGAGGAACACUAGAAUCUUUCGAGGGAAGAAGAUUAAUCCUUUUGAUGUUUGGCCCUUGCUUGAUUCCAUGUUUCUUUGUGCGCUUCAAAGUUUUUUUUUUUGUAAUUAUUCUCUUUGUUUUAUUUUUCUUUAUUGGAGGUCUUUCUUUUAGGUAGGCUCCUUUUUUUCGGGCUGACAGGGUUACGGGAGAUUUGAACAGAACUACAAAACCAUAACAAACUGUUAGGCUUCCUCCUCCGAUUAUAUAUCAAUACAAGAGGAGGGGUAAAAAGGUAACGACAAGGGAAGCAAGUAAUUAGUUACGUGGGAGUGAGGAAGUGAAAUGAUAAUGUUGGUGUGGGGAUCAUCGAUAGUGAUUCUGAAGGGUAUUAGUAGGGUUGUUAUUUCCUUUCGUAGUUUCCAUAUUAUUAUUUUUUUUAGUUUGAGUUCUUCUCGAGAGUGGGAGGAAGAGGGCCAUAUUGCCUUAGAGCAAACUAUUAUCAUAUCAAUACAUCUUGAGGAACCCUACAUAAACCCUCUCCAUGUGAAUACAAGGACUCCUCCAUCUGGAACGAGGAAGGCACUCAUGCUUUUGAGAAGCUGAAGCAAGCGAUGAUGUCCUUAUCCGUGCUAACUCUACUGGAUUUUAACCUGCCAUUCAUAAUUGUAAUGGGUGCUUUUGAAACAAGGUUGGGAGCUUUGCCAUCUCAAAAUCAUCGCCCCAUUGCUUACUUCAGCUAUACUCUUUCGGCAAGAGCGAGGUUCAAAUCAAUUUAUGAUCGUGAAUUAAUGAUGGUUGUGGUAUUGGCUAUUAAAAAAUGAUUAUAUUUAUUUGUUGGGAUUGAAGUUUACUGUGAUAGCUAAUUAGAGAGCUAUAUAAUUCUUGUUGGAACAAGGAGAAAUCGAACCUCAGUAUCAUUGGCAAGCCCAUAAAUCCUUGUGAUCCAAAAACAUAAACUCUUCGACAAAAUGAAGAAAAUAGAUAAAGAAUAGACACCUUGGGUGACGUUUGAUGUAUUGAAAGAGGCAUCAUUUAUUAGAAUUAGAAGAUUCCCUAGCCCACCAUGGGCAUCCCAUGCAACCCAAUUGGAGCUCUAAAUUGUCUUGAUGAAAAAUUGAUCAAGACUUUGAACUUUAAUUUCUCAAAGGAUUACAAUGGCAACAAAUUUUGAUGAAGAUAAAAUCUUCCUCAAGUAUUUGGCUAUCUGUGUUAUAAUAUAUAUUUAAAUUCAUAUGUAUAGUCGUCCUUUAUCGUAAUUUUGUAUAUCCUAUACUAGGUCUUCUCAUUCACCUAUAUGUGUAUAUAUAUAUAUAUCUUUUGUCUAAUUAAAUGAUAAGAAUUUCAUUCUCUGAAAAUACAGAAUACAUGGUAUUAGAGCAUUCUUUGUUUAGGGUUUUAGAAUAUUCUUUGGCGGCUUUGUGAGUUAAGAGUUUGAGAUUGGGUCAUCAACUUUGAGUAGCUGUUUGUCGACACCACUCACCUCAGGAAGAGCACUACCACCGUCCGCCUCAGUCUGCGUUUGCUGUUCAUCGAAUACAGCCACACGUGAGGUACACGCACAGCCAGAUCAAGUCUGUUCCAUCGCCACGUGCCAACGUGUGGGAGUGCCUGAGGCCAUUUUCUUCGCUUCUAUCGGUUGGGUUUGUCUCAAGUUGCCUUUUCUGGUCAAUCUGUGCCUUUGGUUCUACCAACAUCUACUUGAGUGUGAGGCUGUUUAGAAAAUACCCUUUUGUUCCUAUGGUUUGUGACUGUUUUGUUCUAAUUUGGGGCUGUUUUGCUCUUUGGUUUACCUUUCUUUCGAUUCUCAUUUGUUUAAUUCUACUUGUGGGAUCGUGUGUUAGUUCUUAAUGGAUGAAAUGAAGCAUAUGAUUGUAUCCAAUGUAAUUCCCUUAGCAUCAAAGAUAACAAAACAUAAGUUAAAUGGAGCUAAUUACCAUGAUUGGCAUUGCACGAUUUAAUUUUAUUUACUUAGUACUUAUAUGGAUGAUCAUGUGACUAAGAAUCCAUCCCAAGAUGAUAAGAAAAAGGGUUGAAUUCGUGAUGAUGCUCGAAUUUAUCUUCAGAUUAAGAAUUUCAUUCAGAGUGAGACUAUUGCUUUGGUAGAUCAUCGUAAUUCUGUUAAGGAACUCUUAGAGUUCUUAGAAUUUUUGUACUCGGGAAAAGAACACAUCCAUCGAAUGUUUAAAGUUUGUAUGCAAUUGAUAUCUGAGCCAUGCCCCGUUGGUAAAAAUCUUCAGUUGUCAAACAAGAUGUAGUCAUGUUUAGAGUAUCCGUUCAUGGUUAAGCCUUUAGACGAGCAGUGUGCUCAAGUGUAAUUCGAAUGGAUGACUAGUCUGUGGUUGAGUUAGCACGGAGAUCAAAUGAUUGUUUGAAGGAAGGAUCGGUGGUCCUUUAUUCGAGGGGAGGACUGUUGGGUGGGAAUGCGAUUAAAGUCCCAAAUUGGUUAAAUAAGGGAAUGAUCUUGGGUUUAUAAGGGAGGAAAACUAUCUUCAAUGGUAUGAGGCCUUUUGGGGUGGUUCCAAAAGCAAAGCCAUCAUGGUUUAUACCCAAAGUGGACAAUAUCAUAUCAUUGUGGAGAUAUGUGGAGGUCUAUUGUCCCCAACAAAUUGGUAUCAGAGCCAUGCAUCGUUAGUAAAAGUCCUCCGUUGUCGAACAAGAUGUAGUCAUGUUCAGAGUAUCCGUUCGUGGUUGCCCCGAUUGCCCUUUAAAAAGGAAAGAGGCUAUUGGAUGUAAAUGGGUGUUUGCUAUAAAAGUCAAUCCUGACGGAAUAGUGGCUCAGUUGAAAGCUCGUCUUGUUGCCAAAGGAGGAAGUUUACAUGGAGCAACCACCUGGGUUUGUUGCGCAGGGGGAGAGUGAUAAAGUGUGUCGUCUUCGAAAAUCUUUGUAUGGACUAAAACAAAGUCUUCGUGCAUGGUUUGGUAAGUUUAGUCAAGCACUUGAAUGUUUUGAUAUGAAGAAAAGUGCUUCUGAACAUUCUGUAUCCUAUCAACAAUCUUACAAUGGUAUUACUUUGCUUAUUGUGUAUGUUGACGAUAUCGUUAUCACUAGAAAUGAUAUAUCAGGUAUAUCUUCUCUCAAGACUUUCCCUCAAGGUCAAUUUCAUACUAAAGAUUUGGGACAAUUGAAGUAUUUCCUGGGUAUUGAAGUACUAAGAAGUCUGUCACAACGGAAAUAUGUACUUGAUUUAUUGUCCGAGACUGGAAAACUAGGAGCCAAACCAUGUAGUACUCCGAUGAUACCAAAUUUGCAACUUGCUAAAGAAGGAGAAUUAUUUAAAGACCAUGAGAGAUAUAGAAGAUUAGUUGGAAAGUUGGACUAUUUAACAGUGACACGACCAGAUAUUGCUUAUUCUGUGAGUAUUGUGAGUCAAUUUAUGUCUUCUCCUUCAGUGGAUCAUUGGCCUACAGUAGAACAAAUUCUAUAUUAUCUAAAAGCUGCACCUGGACAUGGGAUCUUUUAUAUAAAGAUCAUGAUCAUACAAGGAUUGAAUGUUUUCAAAUGCUGAAUGGGCUAAAUCUCGAGAGGAUAGGAAAUCAACCUCUAGAUAUUAUGUUUUUGUAGGAGGAAACUAUGGAAAAGUAAGAAACAAAAUGUAGUUUCUCGUUCGAGUGCUAAGUCAGAAUAUAGACUAUGACACAAUCUGUGUGAAAUAGUGUGAAUACAUCAACUAUUAUCUGAGAUGGGUUUCAGUAUUACCAUGCCAGCUAAAUUAUGAUGUGAUAAUCAAGUUGCACUUCACAUUGCAUCCGAUCCAGUGUUCUGUGGACGAACUAAACAUAUUGAAGCGAAUUGUCACUUUGUUCACGAUAAAAUACAAGAAGGGUUAAUAUCUCUAUAGGAUAUGUGAAGACUGGAGAACAGUUGGGAAAUAUCUUGACCAAAGCUAUAAAUGGAGCAAGAAUAAGCUAUCUAUUCAACAAGUGGGCAUGAUUGACAUAUUUGCUUUAGCUUGAAGGGGAGUGUUAUAAUAUAUAUUUAAAUUAAUAUGUACAGCCGUCUUUUAUCGUAAUUUUGUAUAUCCUAGAUUAGGGUUUCUCAUUUACCUAUAUAUAUGUAUCUUUUGUCUAAUUAAAUGAUAAGAAAUUCAUUAUCCAAAAGUAUAGAGUUUGCACUCACCAAUAUUAUCACUUCUCAAAAUUAGAAGGGAAGCAUCAAACUGUGUUCAAAUUUCAGCUUGAAAAUUGUAAAAGUGAACACAAUUUAGAACAAUUUUUUUUAUAAAAUAUAACCAAGACUUGCGAGAGCUUAAGCUUAAGGGAUGACAUCAAAGAGAUCUUUAAUUGCAAACGAGGUAACUUUGGCUACCAAGAUUGAGAAUCAAAAUGAGUUUUUAAUAUUUUGAUUGAAAUAUCAUAUAAAUAUAUAUAGAACAUGAUCAUUUGAGUGGGGCACGCUCCCCUGCCUCCAACGUGGAUCCCUUUGUACAAGGGUAACCUUAUGUAAGAGAGUAAAACAACAUUACUAAGAUCUUUGCAAUAAUAUAACCAUACUAAUAUAAGCACAAUAACAAAAACAAACAAACUAGCGAAGUUGUAACAAACCCAAUAGACACAACAAAAAGCUAUGUUUGCUGCAUCCCUUCUAUUGUUCGAUUUUCUUUGAGGUUCAUGUGGGAAAACACUAUUUUUUCUACGCAAUAUUCGAAAAUCAAGAUGGGUUAUUCAUUCAAAACUCUUUUUGUGCACUCUGUUUGACU
This is a non-coding RNA of Benincasa hispida (wax gourd), 5510 nucleotides long. The record is from RefSeq and is a predicted model, not a curated record. NCBI's taxonomy places the organism in Eukaryota, Viridiplantae, Streptophyta, Magnoliopsida, Cucurbitales, Cucurbitaceae.